This 64-nucleotide transfer RNA is filed under the name Nicrophorus nepalensis. RNAcentral's name for it is "tRNA-Tyr". Lineage: Eukaryota; Metazoa; Arthropoda; Insecta; Coleoptera; Silphidae. The record is from RNAcentral.
GGUAAAAUGGCUGAGAUUAGGCGAUAAAUUGUAAAUUUAUUCACGAAUUUAAAUUCUUUUACCA